GGCGAUUGCGCUUGGAGGACUCUGUCCGCAAUUCUGUGUGUGUGAAGAAGGUUUUAGGACUGUAAAACACUUUUAGUAGGGAAGAAAAAAAUGACGGUACCUACAGAAGAAGCAACGGCUAAAUACGUGCCAGCAGCCGCGGUAAUACAAAUA
Molecule: ribosomal RNA, 153 nt
Filed under: uncultured Leptotrichia sp.
Lineage: Bacteria; Fusobacteriati; Fusobacteriota; Fusobacteriia; Fusobacteriales; Leptotrichiaceae
Description: partial 16S ribosomal RNA
Rfam family: Bacterial small subunit ribosomal RNA
Source: RNAcentral